Non-coding RNA from Mycena rosella, 86 nucleotides. The record is from the annotation of a GenBank genome assembly. Lineage: Eukaryota; Fungi; Basidiomycota; Agaricomycetes; Agaricales; Mycenaceae.
GCUCGCUUAGCACAGUGGUAGUGCAUUGUACUUAUGAGGUUACCUCCGUUAUGCAAGGGUCCUGAGUUCGACCCUCAGAGUGAGCA